AACAAUGCAUGUCAGAAUGGGGGUGCCUGUGUAAGUGUUCCCAAUUCCUGUACUCCUUAUACCUGUACCUGUCCAUCAUGUUAUACUGGACCUUUCUGUGAAAGUCUUGUGAAUCCUUGCAACAACAAUGCUUGUCAGAAUGGAGGUGCUUGUUUCCAGGUUUCUGGUUCCUGUACAGCAUACACAUGUACCUGUCCAUCAUGCUACACUGGACAAUUCUGUGAAACUUUGCUAAAUGCUUGCAGCAGCAAUGCCUGCCAGAAUGGAGCGGCAUGUGUAGCGGUG
Anneissia japonica is the source of this 285-nucleotide long non-coding RNA. RefSeq lists it as uncharacterized. The record is from RefSeq and is a predicted model, not a curated record. Lineage: Eukaryota; Metazoa; Echinodermata; Crinoidea; Comatulida; Comatulidae. The transcript has 3 exons.